GAUGAACGCUAGCGACAGGCUUAACACAUGCAAGUCGAGGGGCAGCAUGAUUUGUAGCAAUACAGAUUGAUGGCGACCGGCGCACGGGUGAGUAACGCGUAUGCAACUUACCUAUCAGAGGGGGAUAGCCCGGCGAAAGUCGGAUUAAUACCCCAUAAAACAGGGGUCCCGCAUGGGAAUAUUUGUUAAAGAUUCAUCGCUGAUAGAUAGGCAUGCGUUCCAUUAGGCAGUUGGUGGGGUAACGGCCCACCAAACCGACGAUGGAUAGGGGUUCUGAGAGGAAGGUCCCCCACAUUGGUACUGAGACACGGACCAAACUCCUACGGGAGGCAGCAGUGAGGAAUAUUGGUCAAUGGCCGAGAGGCUGAACCAGCCAAGUCGCGUGAAGGAAGAAGGAUCUAUGGUUUGUAAACUCUUUUAUAGGGGAAUAAAGUGGAGGACGUGUCCUUUUUGUAUGUACCCUAUGAAUAAGCAUCGGCUAACUCCGUGCCAGCAGCC
Molecule: ribosomal RNA, 498 nt
Filed under: uncultured bacterium
Lineage: Bacteria
Description: bacterial SSU rRNA
Rfam family: Bacterial small subunit ribosomal RNA
Source: RNAcentral